RNAcentral lists this ribosomal RNA (354 nucleotides) under uncultured bacterium. RNAcentral's name for it is "bacterial SSU rRNA". It matches the Rfam family "Bacterial small subunit ribosomal RNA", at positions 72 to 422 of the family's 1533-position model. The record is from RNAcentral.
GACUGACUUCGGUUGGUCUGAAAGUGGCGAACGGGUGAGUAACACGUAGGCGACCUACCGCGAAGAGGGGGAUAACCACUGGAAACGGUGGCUAAAACCGCAUGGUCCUGGGGGGAUGGGAAUCUUCCUGGGUAAAGGGAGCAAUCCUGCUUGGCGAGGGGCCUGCGUCCGAUUAACUAGUUGGUGGGGUAACGGCCUACCAAGGCAAUGAUCGGUAGCUGGUCUGAGAGGACGAUCAGCCACACGGGAACUGAGACACGGUCCCGACUCCUACGGGGGGCAGCAGUGAGGAAUAUUGGGCAAUGGGGGCAACCCUGACCCAGCAACGCCGCGUGGAGGAUGAAGGUCUUUGGA